GCUUUGGUGGCUCAGUCGGUAGAGCGUCAGUCUCAUAAUCUGAAGGUCAUGAGUUCGAUCCUCAUCCAGAGCA
RNAcentral lists this transfer RNA (73 nucleotides) under Furculomyces boomerangus. It matches the Rfam family "tRNA". From Rfam's summary of the family: Transfer RNA (tRNA) molecules are approximately 80 nucleotides in length. The record is from Rfam by way of RNAcentral. Lineage: Eukaryota; Fungi; Kickxellomycota; Harpellomycetes; Harpellales; Harpellaceae. RNAcentral also lists the same sequence under 1 other name.